CUUGGUUGAUCCUGCCAGUAGUCAUAUGCUUGUCUCAAAGAUUAAGCCAUGCAUGUGUAAGUAUGAACUAAUUCAGACUGUGAAACUACGAAUGGCUCAUUAAAUCAGUUAUAGUUUGUUUGAUGGCAUAUACUACUCAGAUAAUCAUAGUAAUUCUAGAGCUAAUACAUGCAACAAACCCGACUUCUGGAAGGGAUACAUUAUUAUAUAAAAGGUCAACGCGAGCUAUGCCCGUUGCUCUGAUGAUUCAUGAUAAUUCGACAGAUCGCACAGCCUUUGUGCCGGUGACACAUCAUUCAAAUUUUUACCUUAUCAACUUUCAAUGGUAGGAUAGUGGCCUACUAUGGUGGUGACAGGUGACGGAGAAUUAGGGUUCGAUUUCAAAGAGGGAGCUUGAGAAACGGCUACCACAUCUAAGGAAGGCAGCAGGCUUACAAAUUACCCAAUCCUGACACGAGGAGGUAAUGACAAUAAAUAACAAUACCCGGCUUUAUGUGUCUGGUAAUUGGAAUAAGUACAAUCUAAGUCCCUUAAUGAAGAUCCAUUGGAGGGUAAGUCUGGUGCCAACAGCCGUGGUAAUUCCAGCUCCAAUAACGUAUAUUUAAGUUAUUGCAGUUAAAAAGCUCGUAGUUGGAACUAGGAUUGGGUCAUUCGAUCUACCUCAUGGUAAGCACCGGUCUACUCAUCCCUACUACUAGUGAUGUGCUCCUGGACUUAAUUGCCUGAGUCAUUCCUCUGGCACUGUUACUUUGAAGAAAUUAGAGUGCUAAAAGUAGGCCUACGCUUGUAUACAUUAGCAUUGGAUAACAUCAUAGGAUUUUGAUCUUAUUGUGUUGGCCUUUGGGAUUGGAGUAAUGAUUAACAGGGACAAUCGAGGGCAUUCGUAUUUCAUAGUUAGAGGUGAAAUUCUUGGAUUUAUGAAAGACGAACAACUACGAAAGCAUUUGCCAAGGAUGUUUUCAUUAAUCAAGAAUGAAAGUUGAGGGCUCGAAGAUGAUUAGAUACUGUCCUAGUCUCAACCAUAAACGAUGCCGACUAGGGAUCGACAGAUGUUGCUUUUAAGACUUUGUCGGCACCUUAUGAGAGAUCAAAGUCUUUGGGUUUUGGGGGGAGUAUGGUUGCAAGGCUGAAACUUAAAGGAAUUGAUGAAAGGGCACCACCAGGAGUGGAGCCUGCGGCUUAAUUUGACUCAAUACGGGGAAACUUACUAGGUCUAGACAUAGUAAGGAUUGACAGACUGAGAGCUCCUUCUUGAUUCUAUAGGUGGUGGUGCAUGGCCGUUCUUAGUUGGUGGAGUGAUUUGUCUAGUUAAUUCUGUUAACAAAUGAGACCUCAGCCUGCUAACUAGCUACGCGGAGGUGAUCCUUCGUGGCUAGCUUCUUAGAAAGACUAUGGCCGCUUAGGCCAAGGAAGUUUGAGGCAAUAAUAGUCUGUGAUGCCCUUAGAUGUUUUGGGCUGCUAGUGCACUACACUGAUGUAUUCAACGAGUCUAUAGCCUUAGCCAACAGGCCUGGAUAAUCUUUAAAAUUUCAUCGUGAUGGGGAUAGAUCAUUGCUAUUGUUGGUCUUCAACGAGGAAUUCCUAGUAAGCGCGAGUCAUCAGCUCCCAUUUACUACGUCCUUACCCUUUGUACACAUGCUCAUCACUCCUAUCGAUUGAAUGGUCCAGUGAAGUGCUCGAAUCACAAUGAUGUGAAUGGUUCACCACCCACAAUGUCAUGAGAAGUCCACUAAACCUUAUCAUUUAGAGGAAGGAGAAGUCGUAACAAGGUUUCUGUAGAUGAACCUGUAAAAG
Molecule: ribosomal RNA, 1794 nt
Filed under: Durio zibethinus
Lineage: Eukaryota; Viridiplantae; Streptophyta; Magnoliopsida; Malvales; Malvaceae
Description: SSU rRNA
Rfam family: Eukaryotic small subunit ribosomal RNA
Source: RNAcentral